UACGGAGGGUGCAAGCGUUGUCCGGAUUUAUUGGGUUUAAAGGGUGCGUAGGCGGCCACUUAAGUCAGCGGUGAAAGCCCGGGGCUCAACCCCGGAACCGCCGUUGAUAAUGGGGGGCUUGAGUAUGGACGAGGUUGGCGGAAUUGAGGGUGUAGCGGUGAAAUGCUUAGAUACCCUCAAGAACACCGAUUGCGUAGGCAGCUAACUAGGCCAUAACUGACGCUGAGGCACGAAAGCGUGGGGAGCGAACAGG
Molecule: ribosomal RNA, 253 nt
Filed under: uncultured bacterium
Lineage: Bacteria
Description: partial 16S ribosomal RNA
Rfam family: Bacterial small subunit ribosomal RNA
Source: RNAcentral